Molecule: non-coding RNA, 46 nt
Filed under: Trichobilharzia regenti
Lineage: Eukaryota; Metazoa; Platyhelminthes; Trematoda; Strigeidida; Schistosomatidae
Source: RNAcentral
GUACUGAUGAAGAGUCCCAAACUAGGACGAAACAUCUCUCCAGUAC